Arachis ipaensis is the source of this 1365-nucleotide non-coding RNA. The record is from RefSeq and is a predicted model, not a curated record. Lineage: Eukaryota; Viridiplantae; Streptophyta; Magnoliopsida; Fabales; Fabaceae.
CUACUCCGUCUCUGUCUCGAGCUCCUGCUCCAUUCACAAAUAACUUUUUCACAAAGCACUCCAUGAAGAUGAACAAUUAACCCUAGCUAACCCUAACCCUCCCUGUCUUCAUUAUGCCUCACUGUACCCUAACUCUCUCUUCAUUGUGCCUCACUGUACCCUAACCGCGACGAAGAGCCCUUAACAGCACUCUGCAAGAACGUCGCUGGUCGCCGGCGCUCGCAAUGCCUCCGUCGAAGAACCCCUAACCGCGAUGAAGAACCCCUAACCCUCCUUUGAGUUUCUUCGCUCUUCUCUCGCCACUCUCACCCUCAAGCUCACUGAGUCUCACCUCUCUCGCGGCUGGUCUCGCCGUCGACCUCUCUCUAGCUCUCCGGUAUAUCGCUUCUCUCGCGGGCGUUUCAGACUCAAGGUCGUCGCGCUCUGUUUCCGUCGCUGCUCUGUCACCGUCGCUGCUCUAUCGCGCUCUGUCGCAAGCGAAUCGGUGGAAUUCGAACCGAUCCCAAUCGGUUCCUGCUCUAAAGAGAACCAGAGCAUCUACCAGCAGUUGUUUAAAUUACGCCGAUAAACCUUAGGGCUCAAUUUUUCUACGCCAGUUUUAGCUAGCAAAGCAUUGCCGUAUGGAGUUACUCAUGCAUCAAAGGCUCUAGAACCUGCUACUCUUGUUCCUCUUCAGCUUUUAAAGUCAAGUGGAACCAAAUGCAUAAUGGUUGGUGACCCAAAGCAACUUCCUGCAACUGUCCUCUCAAAUGUUGCGAGUAAAUAUCUUUACGAGUGCAGCAUGUUUGAACGUUUACAAAGGGCAGGGCAUCCUGUUAUCAUGCUUAUGCUUACUGAGCAGGGCUAGGGGACAAGGCUGUUUGUGGCAACAAAACUAGGACGAAUUCGAGCGGCCGCAAAGCAGGCGCUUUUGGAAGUAGUUCAAGCUGCACCAAACAGCAUAGGAUACUAUGCAAGAGGGAAGGUUGAUGUUUCUGGAAGGGGGUUACAUGGCUCCAGAGUACCUAGCUCAUGGUCAGUUAACAGAAAAGGCAGAUGUAUAUAGUUUUGGAGUGUUAGUCUUAGAAAUAGUUACUGGGAGACAGAAUAACAGAAGCAAAUCAACAGAAUACUCAGACAACAUAGUUAUACUCAACCAGGGUUUGGAAAGAACCCAAUUCUGACAGAGAACUGCUUUGAUUAUUGCCCAACUCAUCGAGAACUACUUUGCUUGGCUUCUCAAAGUCUUGUGCCUCUGUUCUAACAUUGACCUUCUUCUAUUCUGUUUCCUUCUUGUUCUGACUGUUAUUUUUUCUAUUUCCGGAAGCACCCCAUGUCGCCAAAAUCCCGAGGUAUGUCUCUCUUGUUAAAUUUUGAAACGCCAAU